GUCCGGGGCUCAAACUUACCACCGAAGCUAUGGGUGUACACUAUGUGUACGCGGUAGAGGAGCUUUCUGUAUGGGUUGAAGUCGUACCGUAAGGAGCGGUGGACUGUACAGAAGUGAGAAUGCUGGCAUAAGUAGCGAGAAAUAAGUGAGAAUCUUAUUGGCCGAAAACCUAAGGUUUCCUGAGGAAGGUUCGUCCGCUCAGGGUUAGUCGGGACCUAAGCCGAGGCCGAAAGGCGUAGGUGAUGGACAAUCGGUUGAUAUUCCGAUACCACCUAUUUACGUUUGAGAAAUGGGGUGACGCAGUAGGAUAAGAUGUGCGCACUAUUGGAUGUGCGUCUAAGCACUUAGGCAUGCUUGAUAGGCAAAUCCGUCGAGCUAAGCUGAGGUGUGAUGGGGAGCCAUUUAUGGCGAAGUAUCUGAUUCCACACUGCCAAGAAAAGCCUCUAUCGAGUGAAUAGGUGCCCGUACCGCAAACCGACACAGGUAGGUGAGGAGAGAAUCCUAAGGCCAUCGGAAGAAUUGCUGUUAAGGAACUCGGCAAAUUGACCCCGUAACUUCGGGAGAAGGGGUGCCUACGAAAGUAGGCCGCAGAGAAUAGGCCCAAGCAACUGUUUAGCAAAAACACAGGUCUCUGCUAAAGCGAAAGCUGAUGUAUAGGGGCUGACGCCUGCCCGGUGCUGGAAGGUUAAGGGGAACACUUAGCGUAAGCGAAGGUGUGAACUUAAGCCCCAGUAAACGGCGGCCGUAACUAUAACGGUCCUAAGGUAGCGAAAUUCCUUGUCGGGUAAGUUCCGACCCGCACGAAUGGCGUAAUGAUUUGGGCACUGUCUCAACAGCAAAUCCGGCGAAAUUGUAGUGCAAGUGAAGAUGCUUGCUACCCGCGAUUGGACGGAAAGACCCCGUAGAGCUUUACUGUAGCUUAGCAUUGAAUCUCGGUAUUGUCUGUACAGGAUAGGUGGGAGACUUGGAAACUUGGGCGUCAGCCUGAGUGGAGUCAUCCUUGGGAUACCACCCUGACAGUACUGGGGUUCUAACCGGCGGCCAUGAAUCUGGUCACGGGACAUUGUUAGGUGGGCAGUUUGACUGGGGCGG
This 1092-nucleotide ribosomal RNA is filed under the name Clostridium botulinum. RNAcentral describes it as "partial 23S ribosomal RNA". It matches the Rfam family "Bacterial large subunit ribosomal RNA", at positions 1173 to 2282 of the family's 2925-position model. The record is from RNAcentral. Lineage: Bacteria; Bacillati; Bacillota; Clostridia; Eubacteriales; Clostridiaceae.